Molecule: ribosomal RNA, 468 nt
Filed under: uncultured bacterium
Lineage: Bacteria
Description: partial 16S ribosomal RNA
Rfam family: Bacterial small subunit ribosomal RNA
Source: RNAcentral
GACGAACGCUGGCGGCGCGCUUAACACAUGCAAGUCGAACGGAAAGGCCCUGCUUUUGUGGGGUGCUCGAGUGGCGAACGGGUGAGUAACACGUGAGUAACCUGCCCUUGACUUUGGGAUAACUUCAGGAAACUGGGGCUAAUACCGGAUAGGAGCUCCUGCUGCAUGGUGGGGGUUGGAAAGUUUCGGCGGUUGGGGAUGGACUCGCGGCUUAUCAGCUUGUUGGUGGGGUAGUGGCCUACCAAGGCUUUGACGGGUAGCCGGCCUGAGAGGGUGACCGGCCACAUUGGGACUGAGAUACGGCCCAGACUCCUACGGGAGGCAGCAGUGGGGAAUAUUGCACAAUGGGCGGAAGCCUGAUGCAGCAACGCCGCGUGCGGGAUGACGGCCUUCGGGUUGUAAACCGCUUUCGCCUGUGACGAAGCGUGAGUGACGGUAAUGGGUAAAGAAGCACCGGCUAACUACGUG